AUUGAACGCUGGCGGCAGGCCUAACACACGCCAGUCGAGCGGAUGAAGGGAGCUUGCUCCUGGAUUCAGCGGCGGACGGGUGAGUAAUGCCUAGGAAUCUGCCUGGUAGUGGGGGAUAACGUCCGGAAACGGGCGCUAAUACCGCAUACGUCCUGAGGGAGAAAGUGGGGGAUCUUCGGACCUCACGCUAUCAGAUGAGCCUAGGUCGGAUUAGCUAGUUGGUGGGGUAAAGGCCUACCAAGGCGACGAUCCGUAACUGGUCUGAGAGGAUGAUCAGUCACACUGGAACUGAGACACGGUCCAGACUCCUACGGGAGGCAGCAGUGGGGAAUAUUGGACAAUGGGCGAAAGCCUGAUCCAGCCAUGCCGCGUGUGUGAAGAAGGUCUUCGGAUUGUAAAGCACUUUAAGUUGGGAGGAAGGGCAGUAAGUUAAUACCUUGCUGUUUCGACGUUACCAACAGAAUAAGCACCGGCUAACUUCGUG
Molecule: ribosomal RNA, 484 nt
Filed under: uncultured bacterium
Lineage: Bacteria
Description: partial 16S ribosomal RNA
Rfam family: Bacterial small subunit ribosomal RNA
Source: RNAcentral